AUUGAACGCUGGCGGCAUGCCUUACACAUGCAAGUCGAACGGCAGCACGGAGCUUGCUCUGGUGGCGAGUGGCGAACGGGUGAGUAAUAUAUCGGAACGUACCCAAGAGUGGGGGAUAACGUAGCGAAAGUUACGCUAAUACCGCAUACGAUCUAAGGAUGAAAGCAGGGGACCGCAAGGCCUUGUGCCCCUGGAGCGGCCGAUAUCUGAUUAGCUAGUUGGUGAGGUAAAGGCUCACCAAGGCAUCGAUCAGUAGCUGGUCUGAGAGGACGACCAGCCACACUGGAACUGAGACACGGUCCAGACUCCUACGGGAGGCAGCAGUGGGGAAUUUUGGAUAAUGGGGGCAACCCUGAUCCAGCAAUGCCGCGUGAGUGAAGAAGGCCUUCGGGUUGUAAAGCUCUUUUGUCAGGGAAGAAACGGUCGUGGCUAAUAUCCAUGGCUAAUGACGGUACCUGAAGAAUAAGCACCGGCUAACUACGUGCCAGCCGCCGCCGUAA
Molecule: ribosomal RNA, 500 nt
Filed under: uncultured bacterium
Lineage: Bacteria
Description: partial 16S ribosomal RNA
Rfam family: Bacterial small subunit ribosomal RNA
Source: RNAcentral